This is a long non-coding RNA of Heterocephalus glaber (naked mole-rat), 755 nucleotides long. RefSeq lists it as uncharacterized. Lineage: Eukaryota; Metazoa; Chordata; Mammalia; Rodentia; Bathyergidae. The record is from RefSeq and is a predicted model, not a curated record.
AAAAGGAAGUGAGGUCCUGUUGGGUCAUAGAGGCCAUUCUAAAGACUCCAACUGCUUUUAGAGACAUGAGAUGCCAUUGGAAAAUAAUGAGGAGGGGAGUGACAUGGCCUCUUUUAAAUUUUAUAAAGGACACAUUGGCUGUUCUAUUGCAAAUCAACUGUAAGGAGGCAGAUACAGAAGCAGGAAGUUCAUAGAGGAAGCUAUUAAAAGAAUUGAGACAAGAAAAGAUGGGUAGAUCAAGGCUUGUCCUGUGACUGGGUCCUGGCCUCAGAAGCAAAGCUCAAAGCCAGUGAGAGGCAGGUGCAGCAGUAAAUGAUGAGCAGUGAUACUGAAGAACAGGGGUUCACUAGUGGGAACAAAAGUGAAAUCUCUAGGCUAAGCAGCAGUACAGAUGGGAAAGCAUAUUCUUCUGACCAUAUAGCCAGUACUCUACCACCACAUCUCACAGACUGGUCUGGCUUCUGAAAUAUAUGAGCUACAGAAUACACAUUCCCAGGGGAACUGGAGACCUGAUAUGGACAUCAUAAAUCAAGCCUUAUUGGACAGAUGUGUUUGGAGUUGAAGACCUACCAAUCUUAUUCCUUUAUGGCACUGGGACUACAGAAUUGGCUCUUUGAUGUAGAUGAUCUCAUCUAAUUUGGAUAUUUAGCAUUGGCUUGGAAUAUCCGAGGAAAUUUCUUCAUUUAUAAAGCUAGAGGUUGGGGAUAAAUUAUCUUUCUUUGAAGAUUCCCUAAACCAGUUGAAUAACAAAUGUG